AAAGACACUCCUUUACAUGCCUCAUGAUUUAUGUUCAUAUUAAGAAUGAAUAAAGGUAAAAGGAAGAAGGUCAUAUUCAAUGAAUUAAUGCGAGAAACAAACAACGUAAGCUUGCGAAAUUAAAGGGAUGAGGCAACAAGAAAAAUACUCAUGAUUUCUAGAAUUGAACAAACAUAGACACCAAUCCAUAUAACAAAAGAAAAUAAAGGCUAACUUUUCAAUAAAGAGAAUCUUUAAAUUUCAAUUAAGGCGACA
This 255-nucleotide long non-coding RNA is filed under the name Capsicum annuum. RNAcentral describes it as "long non-coding RNA (CANN_LNC005725)". The record is from RNAcentral. Lineage: Eukaryota; Viridiplantae; Streptophyta; Magnoliopsida; Solanales; Solanaceae.